Molecule: transfer RNA, 17 nt
Filed under: Astrotricha latifolia
Lineage: Eukaryota; Viridiplantae; Streptophyta; Magnoliopsida; Apiales; Araliaceae
Also listed under: 1 other name
Description: partial tRNA-His
Source: RNAcentral
CAAGUGGAUCAAGGCAG